This 310-nucleotide ribosomal RNA is filed under the name uncultured bacterium. RNAcentral describes it as "bacterial SSU rRNA". It matches the Rfam family "Bacterial small subunit ribosomal RNA", at positions 29 to 334 of the family's 1533-position model. The record is from RNAcentral.
AACGAACGCUGGCGGCGGGCCUAAUACAUGCAAGUCGAACGAGAAAGCUCUUCGGAGUGAGUAUAGUGGCGCACGGGUGAGUAACACGUAGGUGAUCUACCUUUAGUGGGGAACAACAGUGAGAAAUCGCUGCUAAUACCGCAUAAGUAUAACGACUUUGGAAGGAGUUAUAGAAAGAGGGCUUCGGCUCUCGUUGAAAGAUGAGCCUGCGGGACAUUAGCUUGAUGGUGGGGUAACGGCUUACCAUGGCAACGAUGUCUAGCUGGUCUGAGAGGAUGAUCAGCCACACUGGAACUGAGACACGGUCCAG